This 691-nucleotide non-coding RNA is filed under the name Amblyomma cajennense (Cayenne tick). Lineage: Eukaryota; Metazoa; Arthropoda; Arachnida; Ixodida; Ixodidae. The record is from RNAcentral.
AAAUUAGGCUUGGUUUUCCAAAAAAUAACUAUAAUUUUUUUAUGGCUUUUUUAAAAAAAAAGAAACAGAAAAUAAAAUUUACUUAAUAAUAAAAAAUUAUUGAGAUUUAUAGUUAAAUUUAGCUAAUUUUGUGCCAGCAGCAGCGGUUAGACAAAAAAAUUUUUUUUUUGGCUUUAAAUUUAAAAUAAAUAAUUAUUUUUUUUUUAAAAAAAAAGGUGAAAUUUUUUUUUAAAAAAGGGAAAGUGUUUAAAUAAAAACUUCUAUAUAUAAACUAGGAUUAGAUACCCUAUUAUUAGAAAUAAUACAUUGUUAGUAAAUAAUAUUUAUGAAAACAAAAAAUCAUGGCGGUAUCUUAAGCUUUUCAGAGGAAUUUGCUCUUUAAUGGAUAAAACACCCAAAUCUUACUAAAAUUGGUUAAGACAGUUUGUAUACCACUAUUUAAGUAAUUAUUAAUUAUAAUUGCUGUAAAUUUUAAACAAAAAAAAAGUUAAGUCAAGGUGCAGCAUAAAUUUUAGGAUGAAGUGAAUUACAAUGCUUUUUAGAAAAGCGAUUUNAAAAAAAAAAUUAGGAUUUGAAAGUAAAAAUUUUAAUAGAAUGAUUAUUUGAAUUAAGCUCUGAGAUAUGUACAUAUCGCCCGUCGCUCUUUUUAAAAGAUAAGUCGUAACAAAGUUAAAAUACUGGAAAGUGUUUU